GCCGGAAGUGAUCCCAAGCACUGAAGGCUUCCCUGGGUCACAGAACAACGCAUAACGGAGAGAUGAAUGCCCUCUCCCGUUCCUGGGCGCCCUUCUUGUUGCAGGAUUUUCAUGCCGAAAACACAAAAUUCCAAACUCAUCUACAACCCGAAAGCUCUGAGCUUCGAAUAACUAAACAGUGUCACGAAUAAACGGAAACAACGCAUACGUACGCGCGCUUUAAUCUUUUUCGAGCACCUAAUUUUCCCCCCGACUAUACCCGAGAAAGUGACCGCAGCAUAUCGAAGGAAGUCGAUAUAACAUACUGGCAGGAACCUCCCUUAUCUCCUUAUACAAUGAUAAAAUGGGAAACGAGUAAAAUAUUAAUCAGUUAUAAUAUCUAUAUAAUAAUUUAUUUGUUCGAUUGAAUUCAUAAAUUUAAAAUUGUAUUAAUUUAUUGAUCUUUUCCAGCCGUUUACUUCCACUUUAGAUUAUGUGUUUCUAAAAAUUAAUUUACUGUUUAUUUUGAGUUUCUUCAUCUAAAUAUGACUUCUUAUUCUGAGUUUCUUUAUAAUAUUAGACUGCUAGACUCCUACUCCAUCUGUUGCUUCCGCCUUUCCGGCAGAGCCUUGGUGUGAUAAAAAAUCUACCUGUCCGUGCUUUCUCUCGAUCCAGCCUUACAGCUUUGUGAUGAGGGUGUGUGUUCAGCGCCCUUUGGCUGAUUCGUCCCACUGAAUCUGUCAUCUAUCGAUGCUGCUACUCCUUGCGGCAACCUUCAGUUUAUCUUUUGUCGCCUCGCUUCCGCCCAGGGUGGCGGCGUGGGUCUCCUACCUCUCCCUUACCUGCUCCAUAAGCGGGAGCCCUUCGAGAUCCUCAGGGACAGUCCUGAAGCCAGAGAUGACCCUUAAGGCGACUCUUGAUCGUUUGAACAGCAUCGAUCUUCGCCCAGCUGGCUGAAUUAAGGGCAUUUUGGAAUUCGAGAUGUCGGCGCAAUAUUCCUUCGUGUCCCACCUCCAUUUUACUCCCUCUAUGGCCUUCUAGGCGAUGCUGACAGCCGCCAUGGCGGACACCGUCGAGCGGGCUUUCCGGAAGCCAUAUUGUGCCUCGGAUAGAGCUUCAGUCUCCUCCACAAAGUCAGAGAGUCUGUUGUACACUGUCUGGCAUGAAUGGUGUUUCCGACUGGACUGGGCUAUUGUCAUCUUUCUGUAAGUGCCUGGGGAACAGUGCUGUCACGAUCGUGCUCAGCAGAUCUGGACACGUCAGUGUUGGGGUGCUCAUUCCUCGGACCCUCUUGGUGACUACCUUAUAGGCAGGUACUGUCUAUGUCGAUGUCCGCUUCGUCACAGAUGCGUCGGAAGUUGUCGACCUUCCUAGACAUCCUCUUGCCUAGUUGGGAAGUCGUGGCGGCCUCUGGCUCGUUGGGCGCGGUGCCAAGGGCAAGCUCUUUUCAGCUCACAUAUCUCCUGGGUCUAGUAGCACGGUGUAAGUCGCAAAGGAGGCUUCCGCCUUAGCAUGGACUGAUCGCAUGCGUCGACGAUCCGUUGAGCGCUCACCGCACGGGUAAGUGUUUAUUUUUUUUUUUUUAUUUAUUCGUUUAUUCCGUCAAUCUACUAUUUUUUUUUUUUUUUUUUUUUUUUUUUUUUUUGUAUUUAUUCGUUUAUUCCGUCAAUCUACUAUUUUCUUGCUUUACAAUUUUGUAAAAUUUGUAAAUUACCGCCCAACGUGAGCGGUACUGCCGCAAGGCACUGCUUCGCACGCUCGAAGGCUCCUACUCCAUCACCUGCUUACGCCUUCUCUCCAAAACUCUCAGAGUUCGCAUAACGCUAGAGGCGAACCCUUGGGUCGGCCAGCAUGAUCGGCACCAAGGUCUCGGUAGAGAUCCUGUCGCUUACUACUACCUCCAGGCGGAGACGUUCGUGAUCAAACCUGUGGUACGACCUUGCUGUUUCGACCGCUUUCCGGCUCGAUAUUAGCACCGCUUAGGUCUUCUGCGCUGCCAGGUCCAAUCCGGUGACCGUUAGCCACCACUCCACGGCUCGGACGGCCGCGUUGGCGAGCUCCUCCACUGCGGCGAGGUGCUUGGCUACCACCACGACAUUGUCUGCAAACCCCACCAUGCUGGUGUUGGCUGGCAUCGGUAGUCUCAGGACUCCGUCGUACAUGGCGUUCCAGAGCAGGGGUCCCAAAACGGAGCCCUGAGGGACUCCGGCUGUGACUUUGUAUGCCCUGGAACCCAGACUGGUCUCGUACAUCAGCACCCUGUGUAACGGACACGGGAAGUGUCGUCUCGUCAGCACUCUCUGUCUACUGAAAGUUGCCGGCUAGGCUCAGGGAAAAUGGGGUGGGUGUUGUGCUGCGAAAACGAACUCCUUCACCUAACAAAAUCGUAGACAGAUUCACGGGAACUGGGAUUGGAAUUACAAACCCGGACGGAACUUAAGGUCCACUACCUACUGUGAAGAGCAAGGUGGUUGUUCUCUUCCCUCUUGACCCACCCUCCAUGUAGAAUAACACAAGAAUAUGCCAUUAUGGUUCUACCCAAAACCUGCCGCUGCUGCCUAUGUGCCUUAGGAACCCCUCCCAAAAAUCAGAUUAGAAAUUAAUGUUAAAUCGUUAUAAUUUUACUUUGAAUUGUAUGACUUCAGGUUGUUUGUAACCCCCAUUAUUUCUACCAUAACCCUUAAAACUAUUUUUACUGCAUGUGUAUAUAUAUGUGGGACUAAUUUAAUAAUAGGAAUUCAAGAGAAUGAUCAAAUAUGAAUAAAAAUAAUAUAAUCAAAAUAUAAAGUAAGAAUUAAUUAAUUAAAUGAAUUAAAUGGCAUAAUUUUAGUGAUUAUAGUUAAUAAUAAUUCAUUUUAUAUAUGGUUAAGCAUGAAUGUCUCACUGUGUAGACGCUAUUCUCCUGACCCGGAGUGUAUGUGUGUAUAUGUGUGUCUACUUACAGACCUUUAAACAGCUGUUGGUGUCGUUGGGCCCAAUUUCACGUUCUAACUGUUAAAGAAAUGUAGAAAUAUGCAAAAUAACAAGAAGCGUUUUGAAGAGGUAUUUUACCAAUACCCUUCCAUGGACACAAUGAGACCGAUCUUACACCCUUUUAGAAUCUACUAUUAACUACGCAUAAAUUUCAUGUUUUUCUUCUUCUAUUUCUAAGUUAAUGUCUAGGAAUAUUUAAUAUUAUUGAACAAUUUUCUUUUCUAUUUUUUUUCAUCUAUCCAUGAUUUUUCAUUAAAUUCUCUUUUCUAGAUUUUUGUGAUUUACUUUUCUUCCCUUAAGUGCCUUUUAGAAUGUCUGCAUCGAACAAUUUUAAUAACCUGAGAGAAGGAGAGAAUAGGUGACAUACGGUCAGGUGGGUCUAUUUAAGUGCGCAUAGGUGUAUGGUCAGCCGCAAGGGCAAUGACCGCUGAGCUAAUUUUUCCACACCCUACAUAUGCAAGCACCAACAUUUCUUUACACAAGGCGCGGUGAUAUAAUAUAAUAGAUGGUUUUAUAGUUGCGCGUGAGAUAUAUAUAUAUAAACAACUCGAUAUAUGUAUGAACCAACAACCUGCAGGCAAGGUCCGGUGGCACCAAAAAGAGGGACUGAUGAUCGUGGUACUGGAGCGGACCCCCCCUCCGAGACCGAGGGUCAGGCCAGGUCAGCAAUUUCCUGCCACACGUGGAUCAUAACCUAUGUACAGUACAUACAUGGAAUUAUGUAAUAAGGUCACUUUUUCAUUUUUUUCUUGGCGUACCUUAUCCAGGGGUUGGUUUUUAAGUUUUCGUCUUUGCAGCCACA
RNAcentral lists this long non-coding RNA (3754 nucleotides) under Drosophila guanche. Lineage: Eukaryota; Metazoa; Arthropoda; Insecta; Diptera; Drosophilidae. The record is from RNAcentral.